CAGCAGCCGCGGGAAUACGUAGGUGGCAAGCGUUGUCCGGAAUUAUUGGGCGUAAAGGGCUCGCAGGCGGUUUCUUAAGUCUGAUGUGAAAGCCCCCGGCUCAACCGGGGAGGGUCAUUGGAAACUGGGAAACUCGAGUGCAGAAGAGGAGAGUGGAAUUCCACGUGUAGCGGUGAAAUGCGUAGAGAUGUGGAGGAACACCAGUGGCGAAGGCGACUCUCUGGUCUGUAACUGACGCUGAGGAGCGAAAGCGUGGGGAGCGAACAGGAUUAGAUACCCCCGUAGUCCCUGUCUCUUAUAC
RNAcentral lists this ribosomal RNA (301 nucleotides) under uncultured bacterium. RNAcentral describes it as "partial 16S ribosomal RNA". It matches the Rfam family "Bacterial small subunit ribosomal RNA", at positions 509 to 807 of the family's 1533-position model. The record is from RNAcentral.